RNAcentral lists this unclassified non-coding RNA (589 nucleotides) under Hevea brasiliensis (rubber tree). The record is from RNAcentral. Lineage: Eukaryota; Viridiplantae; Streptophyta; Magnoliopsida; Malpighiales; Euphorbiaceae.
UACCUCCAUAUUUCCUGUAUCAGGAGCACCACAGUUGAAAAUUUGUGGCGCCCAGACAGAACGACCCAUAAUCUCGCACAGAUAUCCAUACUCCAGGUUGGAAAGACCAGCACCCAAUAAGCUACCAAAAUCAUUGUUCAGUAGACCAUUUCGGCUGCCAAAAAUAAGUUCUCUAGCCCGCGUAGCACUAUCAAAUGGUAUGAAUAAGUUCCACAAUCCUUCUUUUUUGGCCAGCUCCUUUAAUUUCUCUUCAUUUGGGUGAGCUGUCCAACGCAUGGAAGAUUCCGCAAGCUUGUAAAACUCAUUUUCUGUUGGAUAUAUAUGAUCCUCCAUAAAUUUUGUCAGUCUGUUCCUCAACUUUUGAACCUUCUCACUGGGCACAAAUUUCCCUCCCAUAGGUAAUCCUUGAUUUGAGCUAUCAUGUCCAAGUUGCCUGACAUGAUCCUCUAAGCUUGUCUCAGUUGGAGGGUGCUGAGGGAGAACAGAUUUUCUUUGGAUAAACGACCAUGCAGUUCUAACGAAGGCAUCAGCCUUUUCCCCAGCGCAUCGUGCACGGUCACCUCCUGAAGCAUUACCCAUGAUCCAUCUG